This 264-nucleotide ribosomal RNA is filed under the name uncultured Staphylococcus sp. RNAcentral's name for it is "partial 16S ribosomal RNA". It matches the Rfam family "Bacterial small subunit ribosomal RNA", at positions 98 to 355 of the family's 1533-position model. The record is from RNAcentral. Lineage: Bacteria; Bacillati; Bacillota; Bacilli; Caryophanales; Staphylococcaceae.
CGNGACGGGUGAGUAACACGUGGAUAACCUACCUAUAAGACUGGGAUAACUUCGGGAAACCGGAGCUAAUACCGGAUAAUAUAUUGAACCGCAUGGUUCAAUAGUGAAAGACGGUUUUGCUGUCACUUAUAGAUGGAUCCGCGCCGCAUUAGCUAGUUGGUAAGGUAACGGCUUACCAAGGCAACGAUGCGUAGCCGACCUGAGAGGGUGAUCGGCCACACUGGAACUGAGACACGGUCCAGACUCCUACGGGAGGCAGCAGUU